This 240-nucleotide ribosomal RNA is filed under the name Triticum aestivum (bread wheat). RNAcentral describes it as "partial small subunit ribosomal RNA". The record is from RNAcentral. Lineage: Eukaryota; Viridiplantae; Streptophyta; Magnoliopsida; Poales; Poaceae.
AUGAAACUCGUAAGUUGGAAUUGUCGGGGACUCGGGAACGGCCCGGCAGUUCAAUCUCUUCUCAAACUGGGAAGAAUGGAGGAACCCGAUAUCUUAUUUCUAUGUGAGACUAGGCUGAGGGAGAAGGAGUUGGGAAGAUUUCGGUGGUUGUUGGGGCUCGCCAACAUGGUUGCUUGGAAGGAUGAAGGGAGUGGGAGAGGGGUGGCACUUUUCUGGAGGCAGGGAGUUGACGUCACUCUC